Long non-coding RNA from Bubalus bubalis (water buffalo), 2500 nucleotides. RefSeq lists it as uncharacterized. NCBI's taxonomy places the organism in Eukaryota, Metazoa, Chordata, Mammalia, Artiodactyla, Bovidae. The record is from RefSeq and is a predicted model, not a curated record. The transcript is spliced from 11 exons.
GGGAGGAGCAUCCACAACUCAAAAGGCUAGAAAGGCUCAGAGGCUGUGUGUGGGCAGUGAUUCUUCUCCGCAGUGCAGGGUUUGAUGCGAGAACCUCUUCUCUGAGGGCAAGAGUGAGCAGAGUGAGAAGAGGGUUUGAGGGUUUCGGUUACUUCUGAAAAAGAAGCAGCAUCUCUUCAUGUGAGAAGGGGUCCCAGAGGCUGCUCUCCAGGCGGAGGCGCUAGGCUGGGCUCUUCUGCAGCGGGCCCCCCACGCCAGCCCUGCAGACCUGCAGACCCUUGGGAAGGGCCAUGUCCUCCUCCAGGCCGCUUGUGUGCUCCACGAGUUCCUCCUUAUAGAGACACCUUGCAUUCCUUGGUUUGGACUACCUUCCAUCUUCAAAGCCAGCAAUGUCUGAUGGAGUCUUUGUCAGACUGACCCUCCAAACUUGAUCUGUCCCCACUGAGGAUCCUUAUGAUUACACUAGACCCAUUUGGAUAAUCCAGGAUCAUCCUUUUAAGGUUGCUACAUUCAGAUCUAAUAAAGUCCUUGCCGUAGUGAAAGGAUUGAAGUUGCUUACAGUGGAGCAACAUCAGAGCCAUGGUUUCCUAAAAGCAUGUGAAAGUGAAAAUGAAGUUGCUCAGUCGUGUCCAACCCUCAGCGACCCCAUGAACCGCAGCUUUCCAGGCUCCUCCUUCCAUGGGAUUUUCCAGGCGAGAGUACUGGAGUGGGAUGCCCAUUGCCUUCUACCAUUCAAAACCUGCUCUACUUACCUUCAGAAAUGUUAGCUGAGAGAGACAAAGUUCUACCUGGUUACCUGCAUGUCUCCCUACCAUGAAUGAUGCAGUCAUUGGAGCAGGGGCUCUGGUACCAGGAUCCUUCCACCCAGUGACUUCAUGAGUGGAAAUUCCCAACUACCCAGAGGUUUCUUUGAGGGACAAAUGCAUCUCAAGCACGGCUACAGAGACUGAAUGUGAGGAAAUAUAAUUCCAAAAAGUCAGAUGGGGGUCUAAGUGUGUGGAGCAAAAUAAAUUUAUCAGGCAGGCAUUAAGCCACUCUUCACAAUUCUAAACAAAGUAGGAGAAGAAAGAUGCAGAGACCAAGAGAGAAGCUCACACAACCAUAAGAGGCAGUGAGUCUGAAUUUACAUUUGAGGAAACUGAAGCACACAGAUGGGAAACAACUACCUAAGACAUACUGGAGCAAGAUGCUGCUGUACCGUCUGGCAGGAUAAAUAGCCCUCAUCACCAGCACAUUUUAUAGUUAGGCCAUUCCCAAGAGAUGUCACGCAGAUACCUCACUUCCAGUGUCUACAUGAAUCCGCAAAAUUCUGAUGACAGAUUCCUAAGCAGGAACUACAUUUCUGCUUCUGUGUCAAGGCAGUUGCUUAUGUACCAUUUCAAAAUUGGAAGCUAACCUUUUCAAAAUGUCAGUGCACUUAUUUCACCAUCUUUAUAAUUACCAGCAAUUUACAUUUAUUCAGUAGCUUCACAGUUUGAGUACUGUGUAAAAUUCUGUUAUUCUUUGAGAACCUAUGUUCCAAGGAAGAUUCAUCUAUCCUGUGUUUAAGGUGGUUACAGACAACUGGCAAAUAUACCUGGACAAAUGUUAUAGUCUGUUUUUCAACACGCUUCUCACCUGGGGGUAGAAGAAUUCUGUUAUUUUUGUUGAUAAGUGAGUCUUUCAAAAUGACUGUCUACCCAGAAGUUAAUUGCAAACAUAUGGAGAGUUGACUUUGAUUGAAGCUGGUGUAUAUGUCUUCCUAAGUUUGUAUUCUUACAAUGGAAGCCCCUGCCAAGAUUGUUGGAAGAUAUUUAGAGGAAAAUAUUUAUAAAACUUUAUAGAACAUGGUCAUGUAAUUCAAUGUCUCCUGAAUUAUGCUAGCUUGGACUUUUGACUCAUAGUUGUAUGAAUGUUGGAAAGUUAAAUUAUCUCAGGUUGUUCAGGCAAACAGUCAUUAAAUAAGAUGUUAACAGCUUAAAACAGAAAUAUCUGCUUCCCAAAGUGUUCAGUUUUAUAGAAACUAAGUACCACAAGUCUUUAUAUCACUAAAAGGCCUAAAAUAAAUAAUAUAAAGAUCAUCCUUAACACAUGUUCAAAAAUUUUAGGAUAUUUUCUAAGAUCGGAAUUUCAGUUAUAUUCUUUUUUUUAUGCCCAUUGAGAGAAAGCCUGGAUGUUUUUGUUACCUUGAUUUGAGGAUCAAGUUCGUUGGGCAGUGUGGGAAGGGCCAUGUACUUCUGCCUUAACUCAAAACUCUAUUAGGUUAGAUUCAGAAUAAAUAGAUCUCAUAGCCAAAUUGGUUUAUUUUUGUGCUCUGCAUUUGCUCACCCCAAAAUACCGUUUUUUUUUUUUUUUUGGUCCUAAGGGAGGUGCAAAUUGGAGCUAAAAAAUAAAGCAAUAUGUCUUCCAGUCUUGAGUGUCCUCUUAUUUCCAAAGUCAGUGAUAGCACAGCCCUUGUCUUUAUCAGACUGGUUACUCCAGCUCCAACAGAGGAAAAAGAGUCAUGGUAUCAAAAUAACUA